This is a long non-coding RNA of Aphis gossypii (cotton aphid), 1429 nucleotides long. RefSeq lists it as uncharacterized. The record is from RefSeq and is a predicted model, not a curated record. The transcript has 2 exons. NCBI's taxonomy places the organism in Eukaryota, Metazoa, Arthropoda, Insecta, Hemiptera, Aphididae.
GAGUACUCGGUUAUCAACUAACAACAAAUUAAUUCGAAUUGUCAACCAGUUCAGGGAAGGAGUACCCCGAACUAUAGUGCCCUUUGGCUACUGAGCGAAAUAUGUACCUGGGUCGUGAACAUUUUUCUUAACGCCAUAGCAGAAAUAUUUCGAUUGAUUAAUCGCAAAAAAAUAUAAUUAUAAUUCAAACUUUUUUUUACAAUAUUGUAUUGUUUUGUUUUUAACUAUUUUAUGAAACAUUAUAAACAUAGAUGUUCCCAUGAUGAUAAAAGAUGAUAUUUAAAUAUUUAAAUAUUUUAGUGGCUAGUAUAUUGUGUAUAUCUUCACCUUAUAUAAUAAAACCGAUAAUAUGAGCAUAUAUCUUAGAAACUUAAAGUUGGCCAUGUUCGUUUAUCGACUAGUUACAAUGUACAUGAGCUGCUGAACGUACCACGUUCCGAUCGGUUACGCCGGUCGCGACCGCGACCGCGGUAAAUGGCGGCGAUGACCACAGUCACGAAUUAAGAUCUUAAUUCGUGUGUACAACAAAUAAACAGCACCUAUUCGUGCUUCUUUUGAUUUAGAUCUCAAAAACUUGCUGGCUACUGCAAGACAAUUCUGUGUGGUUGUAAUGUAAUGACGUGGGGAUACAUAUGUGUGCUUUCCUCCUCUAUUGGGUUUAGCAUAGAUUUCGUGAAAUUUUGUAGAACUAAAACUUUCUAAAAACGAGCUGUACAUUAAUGUUUUACUUUUGAUGAAUAAAUCAAUUAAACUAAAAGAAUCAAUAAAUAAAUUUGAAUAGUGGGAACUCAGUUCUUUUGAAACUUUGAUAUUGUUUAAGGUAGUUUUGUUCUGUGUAGUGGAUGGAAUUGGGAAAACGAAUUCUUCUUCAUCACUCUCAUCUUCAUUACCUGUACUAGAAUACUCAAAUUCUGACAUUUAUAUAAUUACCUAAAAAUUAGUAAAUUAAUAUACUUAAGAAAUAUGUAAUAUUUAGAUGAGAGAAGCAGAGAACAGUUUAAAAUUUAAAUGUUUAAAUUCUAAUUUUGAGUUUUAACUACAGUGAUUGAUAAUAACUGAUAAAAGUGUUAUCAAAUGAACGCGUAUCAGUUGUGUUGCCUAUGUGAAUAAUUUCAAGGAGCAACUAAUUAAUGAUCCAAGUAGCGUGCCGCAGAGCUUUGAAAACGAUCACAUGGACUUGCCUGGUAUGGACGGUAUGGUGGUGUAUCGCCAGGUUAACGAUUCCUCACGAGAUCAUUGGACGUAUAUGUAUCAUGCUGUUAAAGGUCGGUUUUACAAAAAUGACGAAAAAAGAGAUGAUCAAAGCUGGGAUAAAAGUCAUUGAAAAUUAAUACAUCACUGUGCAAGGUGCAACUGUAUAAGAACUAAGAAAUGAAGACAAAAUUAAAUUUGUAUAAUAUUUAUUGAAUAUUUUUAUGAAUAAAUCAUA